AUGAACGUAAUGCUCCUCACGAACGUUGUAAAACGACGUUAUGCAUGAACGUAAUGCUCAUAACUUCCCUCUAGAUCUAGCUGCGGUUGAGGCUCCAGCUAUAAAUGGAUAAAAUCUUGGUCUUAAUGUAUACGAGUUUUUGAACGUAAAGGAGCAAUAAUUAAUUUAUUGUUCUGUCAAGAGGGUUAAUAUUGCUCCUUUACUUUUCCUUUUUAGUAGUUUCAUAUAUCAAUUUUGUAUUUACUUCAACACUCUUUACCAUUGUUUUUGUUUUAAGAUAAGAAAAAAAUAUUGGAGUUUCAUACUUUUUGUUUAUUUUUUACUAAUUUAUUUUAUAUGUUUUUCUCAGCAAUCUUUCUUUAUCUUUUGAAAUUAAAAAUAAAAAAAAUGAGAAAUGAAUGUUUUAAUUAUAGUCUAUUGUAUCUUAGAAGACGAGUAAAAACUUCAAAAUAAUGAAAAAAAGAAAGAAUACAAAUGGAAAUCUCUGUAAUUUUUAGAAUUUUUAGAUAGUAUAGGGGCGGAUGUAGCCAAGUGGAUCAAGGCAGUGGAUUGUGAAUCCACCAUGCG
This 567-nucleotide unclassified non-coding RNA is filed under the name Acacia juncifolia. RNAcentral's name for it is "partial miscellaneous RNA". The stretch from base 518 to 567 matches the Rfam family "tRNA", at positions 1 to 47 of the family's 71-position model. Lineage: Eukaryota; Viridiplantae; Streptophyta; Magnoliopsida; Fabales; Fabaceae. The record is from RNAcentral.